CUGCGAGUGAAGCGGGAAAAGCUCAAAUUUAAAAUCUGGCAGCCUUUGGUUGUCCGAGUUGUAAUCUAGAGAAGUGUUAUCCGCGCUGGACUGUGUACAAGUCUCCUGGAAUGGAGCGUCAUAGAGGGUGAGAAUCCCGUCUUUGACACAGACUGCCAGGGCUUUGUGAUGCGCUCUCAAAGAGUCGAGUUGUUUGGGAAUGCAGCUCAAAAUGGGUGGUAAAUUCCAUCUAAAGCUAAAUAUUGGCGAGAGACCGAUAGCGAACAAGUACCGUGAGGGAAAGAUGAAAAGAACUUUGGAAAGAGAGUUAAACAGUACGUGAAAUUGCUGAAAGGGAAACGCUUGAAGUCAGUCGCGUUGUCCAGGGAUCAACCUUGCUUUUGCUUGGUGCACUUUCUGGUUGACGGGUCAGCAUCAAUUUUGACUAUUGGAAAAAGAUUAGGGGAAUGUGGCAUCUUUGGAUGUGUUAUAGCCCUUAGUUGCAUACAAUGGUUGGGAUUGAGGAACUCAGCACGCCGCAAGGCCGGGUUUUUAACCACGUACGUGCUUAGGAUGCUGGCAUAAUGGCUUUAAUCGACCCGUCUUGAAACACGGACCAAGGAGUCUAACAUGCCUGCGAGUGUUUGGGUGGAAAACUCGAGCGCGUAAUGAAAGUGAAAGUUGAGAUCCCUGUCGUGGGGAGCAUCGACGCCCGGACCAGACCUUUUGUGACGGUUCCGCGGUAGAGCAUGUAUGUUGGGACCCGAAAGAUGGUGAACUAUGCCUGAAUAGGGUGAAGCCAGAGGAAACUCUGGUGGAGGCUCGUAGCGAUUCUGACGUGCAAAUCGAUCGUCAAAUUUGGGUAUAGGGGCGAAAGACUAAUCGAACCAUCUAGUAG
Molecule: ribosomal RNA, 877 nt
Filed under: Cortinarius erythrocephalus
Lineage: Eukaryota; Fungi; Basidiomycota; Agaricomycetes; Agaricales; Cortinariaceae
Description: LSU rRNA
Rfam family: Eukaryotic large subunit ribosomal RNA
Source: RNAcentral